UUGCUACUCCUUCCGCCCGAAAAUACUUGUCGGGAGAAUGGAUAAAAAUAGAUGUAUCUAGAACUAAAAUACGUCUAGAUACAUCCAUUUCUCUGAUAAGUAUUUACAAACGGAGGGAGUAUUAA
Non-coding RNA from Triticum aestivum (bread wheat), 125 nucleotides. NCBI's taxonomy places the organism in Eukaryota, Viridiplantae, Streptophyta, Magnoliopsida, Poales, Poaceae. The record is from Rfam.